Molecule: ribosomal RNA, 305 nt
Filed under: uncultured bacterium
Lineage: Bacteria
Description: bacterial SSU rRNA
Rfam family: Bacterial small subunit ribosomal RNA
Source: RNAcentral
CCCUACGGGGGGCAGCAGUGGGGAAUAUUGCACAAUGGGGGAAACCCUGAUGCAGCAACGCCGCGUGAGUGAAGAAGUCAUUCGUGAUGUAAAGCUCUAUCAGCAGGGAAGAAAAUGACGGUACCUGAGUAAGAAGCCCCGGCUAACUACGUGCCAGCAGCCGCGGUAAUACGUAGGGGGCAAGCGUUAUCCGGAUUUACUGGGUGUAAAGGGAGCGUAGACGGCUUGGCAAGCCAGAUGUGAAAGGCUGGGGCCCAACCCCAGGACUGCAUUUGGAACUGUCAUGCUAGAGUGUCGGAGAGGCA